Molecule: ribosomal RNA, 253 nt
Filed under: uncultured bacterium
Lineage: Bacteria
Description: partial 16S ribosomal RNA
Rfam family: Bacterial small subunit ribosomal RNA
Source: RNAcentral
UACGGAGGGGGCUAGCGUUGUUCGGAAUCACUGGGCGUAAAGCGCACGUAGGCGGCUUUGUAAGUUAGGGGUGAAAGCCCGGGGCUCAACUCCGGAACUGCCUUUAAGACUGCAUCGCUUGAAUUGUGGAGAGGUGAGUGGAAUUCCGAGUGUAGAGGUGAAAUUCGUAGAUAUUCGCAAGAACACCAGUGGCGAAGGCGGCUUACUGGACACAUAUUGACGCUGAGGUACGAAAGCGUGGGGAGCAAACAGG